Molecule: ribosomal RNA, 443 nt
Filed under: uncultured Eubacteriales bacterium
Lineage: Bacteria; Bacillati; Bacillota; Clostridia; Eubacteriales
Description: uncultured Clostridiales bacterium partial 16S ribosomal RNA
Rfam family: Bacterial small subunit ribosomal RNA
Source: RNAcentral
CCUACGGGGGGCUGCAGUGGGGAAUAUUGCGCAAUGGGGGGAACCCUGACGCAGCAACGCCGCGUGAGCGAAGAAGGCCUUCGGGUCGUAAAGCUCUGUCAUUAGGGAAGAAAAAAAUGACGGUACCUAAUGAGGAAGCCCCGGCUAACUACGUGCCAGCAGCCGCGGUAAUACGUAGGGGGCAAGCGUUGUCCGGAAUUACUGGGCGUAAAGGGUGCGUAGGCGGCCUGAUAAGUCAGAUGUGAAAUACCAGGGCUCAACCUUGGGGGUGCAUUUGAAACUGUUAGGCUUGAGUGCAGGAGAGGAAAGUGGAAUUCCUAGUGUAGCGGUGAAAUGCGUAGAGAUUAGGAGGAACACCAGUGGCGAAGGCGACUUUCUGGACUGUAACUGACGCUGAGGCACGAAAGCGUGGGGAGCGAACAGGAUUAGAUACCCGUGUAGUC